ACGCUCGACACCUACGGGAGGCGGCAGUCGGGAAUAUUGCGCAAUGGAGGAAACUCUGACGCAGUGACGCCGCGUGCAGGAAGAAGGUUUUCGGAUUGUAAACUGCUUUAGACAGGGAAGAAAAAGGACAGUACCUGUAGAAUAAGCUCCGGCUAACUACGUGCCAACAGCCGCGGUAAUCUGAGCGGGCUGGCAAGGC
Molecule: ribosomal RNA, 199 nt
Filed under: uncultured bacterium
Lineage: Bacteria
Description: partial 16S ribosomal RNA
Rfam family: Bacterial small subunit ribosomal RNA
Source: RNAcentral